AUGUUGGCGCAGAGAGGAUCUGCGCGGCGAGGGAAGGGAUGUCUGAACGGUGUGAAGAGUAAGCAUCUCCUCUUGAUUCUCUGGGUCUUUGGUAUGCUGCUGCUUUUGGUCUGCAGAAUAACCGUGGCGGAGUUUGUUUCUGCACCUCUCGUUGCCUGGAGCUGGGAACGAUAUCCACGAAGCCAUGCUGCUGUGCUACAUGACAAGACCAAGUUGCCCCUUGCGUGCUGCGUGUUCACUCAGGUCCAUUUCAACCCAUGCCACUUUCCCGGGGAAUGGGACCCUGCCUCGUUUUGGUUCCUAUCCAUUGAGCCAAGUAGUGCUCUGUGUGUAGCCACCGUGAAAUUGAUGGAGCCCCACUAG
Molecule: ribosomal RNA, 363 nt
Filed under: Triticum aestivum (bread wheat)
Lineage: Eukaryota; Viridiplantae; Streptophyta; Magnoliopsida; Poales; Poaceae
Description: partial small subunit ribosomal RNA
Source: RNAcentral